GGUGGUUUCAAGGCUUUUAAUCAUCUCUCCUCCUUUUGUGAACAUGCGACAGGACGAAGUCAAUCAGCACGAGCAACGUUCAGUUGUUGUUGUUUGUUCCGUUCAGUGAUUUCCAUAACCAACAUAAAGAUAAAGAAAGUGCAAUACACGCUUAAGGAGCAAUCGGAAGUUCUGAUUUUGUUUUAACUGCUUAUAUUGACUAUAUAAAGACCAUUUAAAUACUUAAAGUGCCAAACAUCACACACAAUAGGACACAUUGAGAUCUGAUCAUUCAGCAGUAAAUAGGAGAGAGCGACCUUUGACCCUGUGACCCUAUGACCUAUGGACAAAGACUUCUACAUUCCUGAUCAGUACAACAAGCAAACUGCAGGACAAUAAUAUAAACAUGAUAAGCAACUAUAACAAACACAACUUGAGUCCUGAUCACACGUGCACUAAUACUAUGUCACACUCAGAGACACUCAGUGGGUGGAGUGGGCCUGAAAGCUGAGGGCUGAGGGGGUUUCAGGGUGUGAGGUGACUUUAAAAUGGUGUGUGUGUGUGUGUGUGUUUCAGGGUGUGAGGUGAGUUUAAAAAGGUGUGUGUGUGUGUGUGUGUUUCAGGGGGUGAGGUGAGUUUAAAAAGGUGUGUGUAUGUGUGUGUGUUUCAGGGUGUGAGGUGAAAAGGUACUUCAGAGGGUCUAGAAGGCUGGGGAAGGGACCUUACAUGGGUUUUAAAAAGCGGAGAAAUAUGGUUAGCAUUAUUAGCAUUAUUUAGACAGGGGAAUGUAGGACUGGCAGAGAGAGGCAAUUUUACUGAUGGGGCAUACGGUGGUAGGAGUAGAAGGGUUGGGGUAAAAGGUUGUAAGAGGGGUAGUGUAAGGUGACCAGAUUUCUGAGACAAAAUCCGGGGACAAUUUCAGUUCAGAUACGUUACCCCUCCAAAACAUGUAAACGUUUGGUCAUUGUUUUCUUUCUUUCUUUAAUUUGUAUCCCGGGUCUGUCUGUGAAAACCGGGGACAUUACCGGGGACAGCUCCAGCCGGGGACAGGCCACCAAAAACCGGGACUGUCCCCGGAAACCGGGGACGUCUGGUCACCUUAGGGUAGUGGGGUUGGGGUAAAAAGCUGUAAGAGGGGUACUAGGGUUGGUUUGAGACAGGGGUAUUGGGCUGUUUGAAAGGCUGUAAGAGGGGUAGUAGGGUAGAUUUACGUAAGUGUGUUUAAAAACAAUCAGAGGCAUUAGAUGCGUUUAGAAAUCAGGAAGAAGGGAUAUAUGGGGGUGAAAAGCUGAAAGAAGAGUUAAAGGGGUGGUUUUGAAAGCUGAGACAGGGGUAAAAGGGUGGUUUUAAAGUGGAGGCAGGGGUAAAAGAGUGGUUUUUAAAGUUGAGACAGGGGUAUUAGGGCAUGCUUUGGAUGGGGAGUACAUUCACAGGAGUCUGCACAGGGCAGGGUGCAGAGGAGGCAUGACAGAAAGAGUUCACCAGACACACACACACACACACACACACACACACACACACACACACACACACACACACACCCUAGCUCUGCUCUGGCACAUCUAUAGAAAGUUGGUCUUGAGAGAGCGCAGGAUCUGGAGGCCCCUCUCCCACGUCUGCGGCGCUCGCUGCGGGGCCUCACUGCUCAGGUACUGAUGUGUCUUCUGUCUCCGCCCCUUCUGACGCCCCUGGGGUAAGAGAACGGAGCAGAGGCAGGG
Long non-coding RNA from Clupea harengus (Atlantic herring), 1697 nucleotides. NCBI's taxonomy places the organism in Eukaryota, Metazoa, Chordata, Actinopteri, Clupeiformes, Clupeidae. The record is from Ensembl.